Molecule: ribosomal RNA, 1248 nt
Filed under: Mucilaginibacter sp.
Lineage: Bacteria; Pseudomonadati; Bacteroidota; Sphingobacteriia; Sphingobacteriales; Sphingobacteriaceae
Description: bacterial SSU rRNA
Rfam family: Bacterial small subunit ribosomal RNA
Source: RNAcentral
GGAGAGCUUGCUUUCCUUGAGAGUGGCGCACGGGUGCGUAACACGUAUGUAACCUACCUUGUUCAGGGGGAUAGCCUCUCGAAAGAGAGAUUAAGACCGCAUAACAUUAUGAUAUGGCAUCGUAUUAUAAUCAAAUAUUUAUAGGAACAAGAUGGGCAUGCGGAACAUUAGCUAGUUGGUAAGGUAACGGCUUACCAAGGCUACGAUGUUUAGGGGAUCUGAGAGGAUGACCCCCCACACUGGUACUGAGACACGGACCAGACUCCUACGGGAGGCAGCAGUAAGGAAUAUUGGUCAAUGGGCGGAAGCCUGAACCAGCCAUGCCGCGUGCAGGAAGACGGCCCUACGGGUUGUAAACUGCUUUUGUACCAGAAUAAACCUUUCUUCGUGAAGAAAGCUGAAUGUAUGGUAAGAAUAAGGAUCGGCUAACUCCGUGCCAGCAGCCGCGGUAAUACGGAGGAUCCAAGCGUUAUCCGGAUUUAUUGGGUUUAAAGGGUGCGUAGGUGGCUUAUUAAGUCAGGGGUGAAAGACGGUAGCUUAACUAUCGCAGUGCCUUUGAUACUGAUGAGCUUGAAUGAACUAGAGGUAGGCGGAAUGUGACAAGUAGCGGUGAAAUGCAUAGAUAUGUCACAGAACACCAAUUGCGAAGGCAGCUUACUAUGGUUAGAUUGACACUGAGGCACGAAAGCGUGGGGAUCAAACAGGAUUAGAUACCCUGGUAGUCCACGCCCUAAACGAUGAAUACUCGAUGUUGGCGAUAUACGGUCAGCGUCUAAGCGAAAGCGUUAAGUAUUCCACCUGGGGAGUACGCCCGCAAGGGUGAAACUCAAAGGAAUUGACGGGGGCCCGCACAAGCGGAGGAGCAUGUGGUUUAAUUCGAUGAUACGCGAGGAACCUUACCCGGGCUUGAAAGUUAGUGAAUUGAGCAGAGACGCUCAAGUCCUUCGGGACACGAAACUAGGUGCUGCAUGGCUGUCGUCAGCUCGUGCCGUGAGGUGUUGGGUUAAGUCCCGCAACGAGCGCAACCCCUAUGUUUAGUUGCCAGCACGUUAAGGUGGGGACUCUAAACAGACUGCCUAUGCAAAUAGAGAGGAAGGAGGGGACGACGUCAAGUCAUCAUGGCCCUUACGUCCGGGGCUACACACGUGCUACAAUGGAUGGUACAGAGGGCAGCUACCUGGCAACAGGAUGCCAAUCUCAUAAAGCCAUUCACAGUUCGGAUCGGGGUCUGCAACUCGACCCCGUGAA